AGACUAAGCCAUGCAUGUCUAAGUAUAAACGCUUCUAUACUGUGAAACUGCGAAUGGCUCAUUAAAUCAGUUAUAGUUUAUUUGAUGGUUUCUUACUACUUGGAUAACCGUGGUAAUUCUAGAGCUAAUACAUGCACAAAGUCCCGACUGUUCGGAAGGGAUGUAUUUAUUAGAUCCAAAACCAAUGCGAGUCUUUCGGGGCUCGGUUUCUUGGUGAUUCAUGAUAACUGCUCGAACCGUAUGGCCUUUGCGCCGACGGUGCUUCAUUCAAAUUUCUGCCCUAUCAACUUUCGAUGGUACGGUAGUGGCCUACCAUGGUUGCAACGGGUGACGGAGAAUUAGGGUUCGAUUCCGGAGAGGGAGCCUGAGAAACGGCUACCACAUCCAAGGAAGGCAGCAGGCGCGCAAAUUACCCAAUCCCGACUCGGGGAGGUAGUGACAAUAAAUAACAAUGCCGGGCUAUUGUAGUCUGGCAAUUGGAAUGAGUACAAUCUAAAUCCCUUAACGAGGAACAAUUGGAGGGCAAGUCUGGUGCCAGCAGCCGCGGUAAUUCCAGCUCCAAUAGCGUAUAUUAAAGUUGUUGCAGUUAAAAAGCUCGUAGUUGGAUUUCGGGGUGGCCUGGCUGGUCCACCGCAAGGUGAGUACUGGUCAGCCGCCCUUCCUCUCGAAAGCCCCGACUGCUCUUCAUUGUAGUGGUCGGGUAGUUCGGGACGUUUACUUUGAAAAAAUUAGAGUGUUCAAGGCAGGCUAUCGCCUGAAUACAUUAGCAUGGAAUAAUGGAAGAGGACCUCGGUCCUAUUUUGUUGGUUUCUAGGGCCGAAGUAAUGAUUAAGAGGGACAGUUGGGGGCAUUCGUAUUUAAUUGUCAGAGGUGAAAUUCUUGGAUUUAUGAAAGACGAACUAGUGCGAAAGCAUUUGCCAAGGAUGUUUUCAUUAAUCAAGAACGAAAGUUAGGGGU
RNAcentral lists this ribosomal RNA (957 nucleotides) under Halichondria sp. OD051802. RNAcentral describes it as "SSU rRNA". It matches the Rfam family "Eukaryotic small subunit ribosomal RNA", at positions 41 to 997 of the family's 1831-position model. Lineage: Eukaryota; Metazoa; Porifera; Demospongiae; Suberitida; Halichondriidae. The record is from RNAcentral.